This 336-nucleotide unclassified non-coding RNA is filed under the name uncultured fungus. RNAcentral's name for it is "partial contains 5.8S ribosomal RNA, internal transcribed spacer 2, and large subunit ribosomal RNA". Lineage: Eukaryota; Fungi. The record is from RNAcentral.
AACGCAUAUUGCGCUCGAGCCCUCGGGCAAGAGCAUGUCUGCCUCAGCGUCGGUUUACACCCUCACCCCUCCCAUUUGUUUGGGUGGGAUGGCUCCCAUAGCUAUCCAUAGGGGUGGAUCUGGCUUCCCCAACUUGCAAGUAGGCGGGUUGGGUUGGCUGAAGUGUAGAGGCUUAAGCAAGGACCCUGUAUGGGCUUCAACUGGAUAGGUAGCACCGGCGUUGCCGACUACACGAAGUUGUUGCCUGUGGAUCUUGUUAGGAGCCUAGCAGGAACAUGACUGGUUCAUGUAUACACUUUCGACCUGAGCUCAGGCAAGGCUACCCGCUGAACUUAA